Molecule: ribosomal RNA, 359 nt
Filed under: Bacillus sp. oral taxon A03
Lineage: Bacteria; Bacillati; Bacillota; Bacilli; Caryophanales; Bacillaceae
Description: bacterial SSU rRNA
Rfam family: Bacterial small subunit ribosomal RNA
Source: RNAcentral
UUAGCGGCGGACGGGUGAGUAACACGUGGGUAACCUGCCUGUAAGAUUGGGAUAACUCCGGGAAACCGGAGCUAAUACCGGAUAACAAUUUGAACCGCAUGGUUCAAAUUUGAAAGACGGCUUUUGCUGUCACUUACAGAUGGACCCGCGGCGCAUUAGCUAGUUGGUGAGGUAACGGCUCACCAAGGCAACGAUGCGUAGCCGACCUGAGAGGGUGAUCGGCCACACUGGGACUGAGACACGGCCCAGACUCCUACGGGAGGCAGCAGUAGGGAAUCUUCCGCAAUGGACGAAAGUCUGACGGAGCAACGCCGCGUGAACGAUGAAGGCCUUCGGGUCGUAAAGUUCUGUUGUUAGGG